UUAGAGGAAGUAAAAGUCGUAACAAGGUUUCCGUAGGUGAACCUGCGGAAGGAUCAUUACUGAAUUGUCAAACGGGUUGUUGCUGGCCCUCAUAGGGGGCAUGUGCACGCUCUGUUUACACAUCCACUCACACCUGUGCACCCUCUGUAGUUCUAUGGUCUGGGGGACCCUGUCUUCCUUCUGUGGUUCUACGUCUUUACACACACACUGUAAUAAAGUUUUAUGGAAUGUACAUCGCGUCUAACGCAAUACAAUACAACUUUCAGCAACGGAUCUCUUGGCUCUCGCAUCGAUGAAGAACGCAGCGAAAUGCGAUAAGUAAUGUGAAUUGCAGAAUUCAGUGAAUCAUCGAAUCUUUGAACGCACCUUGCGCCCCUUGGCUAUUCCGAGGGGCAUGCCUGUUUGAGUAUCAUGAACACCUCAACUCUCAUGGUUUGCCAUGAUGAGUUGGACUCUGGGGGUUUUGCUGGCCUGUGGUCGGCUCCUCUCAAAUUAAUCAGCCUCCCAGUGUUUGGUGGCAUCACGGGUGUGAUAAAUAUCUACGCUCGCUGUUGUCUGCCAGGUAACCUUUGGUCACAAAGGUUUGCUGGAGCUCACAGAUGUCUCUCCUCAGCGAGGACAGCUUUUUUAACGUUCGAUCUCAAAUCAGGUAGGACUACCCGCUGAACUUAAGCAUAUCAAUAAGCGGAGGAA
This 693-nucleotide ribosomal RNA is filed under the name uncultured fungus. RNAcentral describes it as "eukaryotic LSU rRNA". The stretch from base 258 to 412 matches the Rfam family "5.8S ribosomal RNA". Lineage: Eukaryota; Fungi. The record is from RNAcentral.